GGCAAGGCUCGAGAAGACUGGAACUCCGACAAUGAACUACAGAGUUAGUGCUACACUCCUGCUGCUGCUUGGAAUUUGUGCAGCUUUGUCUAUGGCGGCUCAUAACAAUAUCAAUUUAGGAUCACGAUGUAGGUGCAGUACGUGUUCAACAAAUCGCAUGUCCGUGGAUAAUAUUCAUAAAAUUGAAAUCAUCGCAGCGAACAAAGAGUGCAAUUACGCGGCAAUCAUAGCUCAUCAGAUUAACCCACGUAAAAUAGUUUGUUUGAGUGGCAAGGCUCUCUGGGUGAAGAUGCUUAUUAUUGGCUUACUGACCAAAACUGCAAAGUCGGAUACAUUUUGAAGGGCUUCAUUGCCACAAUGGUAUCCUGAGGUGAUGAAACAGGUUUUAUACCUACAAAUGUUUUUUUGGUGAAGUGAUUUUAAUUCUAAAUAAAAAGGAUUGUAUCUCUGAUAUGAUUUAAGCAUUAAAUACAUGGCAUUCUAAAAUGUAUUUGUCUGUUCCUAAAUAUAAUGCCAAAUCUUCUAUCUCUUCCCUAUAAGGGAAAGUCUCCAAUAUUAACUCAUAGAAUGAGGUUGACAGCAGAUCAUUCAGCACAAAUGUCUUUGCUGGUUAUGUAUAAGUGAUAUUCAAGUAUUCUCACCUAUAACUCUUCAACUCCCAACCACCACCAAAACACCGCCACCAUUUCAGGUAUUUUCAAAGCCAUGCAAAUUUCUCUGCUUUGAUAGUUCUUCCAACUAACUCUUUAUUGAAAGUUACCAUCAAAUCUGCUUCCAUUGCCUUUUCAGAGAGAAACUCCAGAUUAACAGCUCUUUUCCUUGUGUUUCUUCUGCAAAUUUCUCCACAUCCGUGCCCUCUAGUCAAUGAUGCUUUUGCCACGAGCAACACUUUCAUCGUCCUUCCUCCAUUUUAUAUUUCAUGAUAUACUGGAUAUUGGAUAUACAGUAUGCUUCAAAUCUCACCUUCACUCCACCUCUGCCCUGUUAAAUAAACCAAGCUUUUCUCAAUAAAAUAGAGAUUCCAAAAACAUGGCUUCAUUCUUGUAGAUCAGCUUUGUGGGACUUUGAUUUUGGACGUAAUUUGGUGCCAAGAACUGGAAGGAUUACAUCAGCUAGAAACCUAUGAAAGGUUUAUCAUAAUUCCUCGCUAUUUUUCAAAAUGCUAAUAUAACACAUUCAUUUGUAGGAUGUACAAAGUUGAAUAAAUUUUGGAGCGAUAUAUUUGAUAUAUUUACAAAGCUUUUCAAGUCCACAAUAGAACCUAAAACGGAAUGGAUUAUAUUUGGAAUAAUAGUAGACGAUAUCAAUUUAAAUAAAGACCAAAACGUUUUUUUAAAUUAUGGGUUAAUAAUUGGAAAGAAAUUGAUACGUAAAUUUUGGAAAAAUACAACCAUACCAACUGUUAAAAUGUGGAUUAGGAAUAUGAUGGACAUAGCACGCCUUGAAGAAAUGAGACUCCGACUAAUAGAUAAAUAUGACCAAUUCUUAAGGAGUUGGUCUCCUUUCAUCGACUUUUUGGAAUCAUGUGAUGCAGCGGUACCGUAAAGAUUGCUGAUUUCAGUUCAUGACGUGGAUAGAUCUACAUCUCCGAAUACAGAUUUGAAAUUUUCUCUUUUAAGGGGCCUUCUCUCCUAUUUCUACUUUCCACUUUUUCUUUUUUUUUAUAUACACACUUCACGUUUUUCUAUUCUCUACCAGCUAUUUUUCCUCUUUUCCCCUUUCUAUUGUUUUCUUUUUCUUGUCUUGCUUACUUCUUUCUCAAAACAUAAAACUAGAGGUUGUACAUAGAAUGGAUUACGGUAUUACAUUGUUGGCACCUAAAAUUAGGUUCCACUGUACUGUUUUGUACUGUAUUAACUUCUAAUACGCGAGUCCCCAGUGGGAGACUGCUUUGCGGGGCACCGGCAACGGCGACUUCUACCGCCCGAAUUGCGGGGUUGAGAGUGACCUGGAGCAGGGCCUUACAACGCCCGGCGCGGCUUUGAUUUGCCGCGGACUUGCCAGCGCCCGCCGGGGGCUCCAACACCAAGUCCCGGGGCAGGGCCUUACAUCGCCCGGCGUGGCGUUGAGUGGCCGCGGACAUGCUAGCGCCCGCCGGGGCCUUUGACUGCGACUUCGGGAGAGGAAUGGAGAGCAGGGGAGAGAUAAGACUUUGCCUUCCAUCACAGUGAGCAGGAGACUCACUGUGAUGGAUGUUUGUGUAAAUUGUGUUGGUGUGUGUCUUGGUUCUUUUCUUGUAAGGCUGCAGACACCAAAUUUCGUUUGAACCUCAUGUGAGUAUUGUAAUAAAAUAAACAACAACAAAAAACACCAACAAAAUAAAUAAAUAAUACAAAAUGCUAGAAGUGCUGAGAAACUGAGCAAUUAUGUUGAUCUCAUUGCCAUUAGUGGUUUGUUGAAGAAAAUGGAUGCUUUUUGUGCACAGUGGUAAUGUUUCAAAAGCAUGUUACUGGCUGUGAAGAACUUGCAAUUGGUAAGGAAGUGAACAAUGUUGUGUGAAUGCAAAUUCUUCUUCUCCAUGCGAGAAGUAGGAUAUAAGUAGGGCCAGCAUUUAUUAGUUGUCCAUAAAGCAGCAACAAGCACCAUAGAUGUAUAUCACACAUAUAAAGCCAAUGAUAAUGAUUGUUUCAUUAAACUAAAUAGAUUACAAAAAAAUAAAAAAUAAUAAUUCCUCUCUAUUUUUUAAUUCUAUGAUGAGAUGGACAAAGCACACAAUCCCUGUUUCCUUUUUUAAUGGCAGUCAUUGGCACAUCAGGAUGGAGGUGAUUGAGCUUUCCUGAUCUGAUGACAUUGUAAAUCCAGGGGCACGGUACUACACCCGACUACGCUUUUUCCAGACACAUCUUUCCAGCCACUGCUCCAUUCUUUUCAGGGUCUCUAAUACUUUGUCAUUCUUCUUUUCUCUGUCGGUAACACGAGGAACAUUAAAUUAGAGUAACUAGGGUAAUGUGGAUGAACAUUCUUAAGGAGUUGGUCUCCUUUCAACGACUUUUUUUGUGUAGAGUAAUUGUGAAAGAAGGCGAAUGGUAUGUUAGCAUUCAUAGCAAAAGGAUUUGAGUAUAGGAGCAGGGAGGUUCUACCGCAGUUGUACAGGGCCUUGGUGAGACCACACCUGGAGUAUUGCGUACAGUUUUGGUCUCCUAAUCUGAGGAAAGACAUUUUUGCCAUAGAGGGAGUACAGAGAAGGUUCACCAGACUGAUUUCUGGGAUGUCAGGACUUUCAUAUGAAGAAAGACUGGAUAGACUCGGUUUGUACUAGCUAGAAUUUAGAAGAUUGAGGGUGGAUCUUAUAGAAACUUACAAAAUUCGUAAGGGGUUGGACAGACUUGAUGCAGGAAGAUUGUUCCCGAUGUUGGGGAAGUCCAGAACAAGGGGUCACAGUUUAAGGAUAAGGGGGAAAUCUUUUAGGACCGAGAUGAGGAAAACCAUUUUUCACACAGAGAGUGGUGAAUCUCUGGAAUUCUCUGCCGCAGAAGGUAGUUGAGGCCAGUUCAUUGGCUAUAUUUAAGAGGCCCUUGUGGCUAAAGGGAUCAGGGGGUAUGGAGAGAAGGCAGGUACAGGAUACUGAGUUGGAUGAUCAGCCAUGAUCAUAUUGAAUGGCGGUGCAAGCUCAAAGGGCCGAAUGGCCUACUCCUGCACCUAUUUUCUAUGUUUCUAUGUUUCUAUGAAUGGCCUUUAGUUUAAGAACAUACUUCAUAUUAUUUGAAGCUAUAAGCAGCAAGGCACAGAAAGAAAUGUGUCUGUCAAGAGCUUGCUAUAUUAUAUGUAUGAAAAACUGUGUGCGUUCAAGUUUUGUUAAUAAACUGCUUUGAAUCCAAUAAUCGUAUCCUGGUCAUCAUUUUAAAGAGACACAGGGAGAAUGAUACGGAACACCAAAGCUGUGUUAAGUCAAUUAGAUUUAUAGAACACAAAAACAGGCUGAAUGUCUGAAAAUGGGUCUUGACCCGAAACAUCACCUAUUCUUUUCUCCAGAAUUGAUGCCUGACCCGAUGCAUUUUGCAACUCCAGCAUUUUGUGUCUAUCUUCGACAGAAACAGACAAAUCAGCAUGCCCAUGACAUCCAGUA
Molecule: long non-coding RNA, 4066 nt
Organism: Leucoraja erinaceus (little skate)
Lineage: Eukaryota; Metazoa; Chordata; Chondrichthyes; Rajiformes; Rajidae
Exons: 3
Source: RefSeq, a predicted model, not a curated record